This 497-nucleotide ribosomal RNA is filed under the name uncultured bacterium. RNAcentral's name for it is "partial 16S ribosomal RNA". It matches the Rfam family "Bacterial small subunit ribosomal RNA", at positions 28 to 507 of the family's 1533-position model. The record is from RNAcentral.
GAUGAACGCUGGCGGCGUGCCUAAUACAUGCCAGUCGAGCGAACGGACGAGAAGCUUGCUUCUCUGAUGUUAGCGGCGGACGGGUGAGUAACACGUGGAUAACCUACCUAUAAGACUGGGAUAACUUCGGGAAACCGGAGCUAAUACCGGAUGAUAUUUUGAACCGCAUGGUUCAAAAGUGAAAGACGGUCUUGCUGUCACUUAUAGAUGGAUCCGCGCUGUAUUAGCUAGUUGGUAAGGUAACGGCUUACCAAGGCAACGAUGCAUAGCCGACCUGAGAGGGUGAUCGGCCACACUGGAACUGAGACACGGUCCAGACUCCUACGGGAGGCAGCAGUAGGGAAUCUUCCGCAAUGGGCGAAAGCCUGACGGAGCAACGCCGCGUGAGUGAUGAAGGUCUUCGGAUCGUAAAACUCUGUUAUUAGGGAAGAACAUAUGUGUAAGUAACUGUGCACAUCUUGACGGUACCUAAUCAGAAAGCCACGGCUAACUACGUG